CCUUCAGUAGUGGUAGUCCUAGUCCAGUUCCUCUUUGAAAAACAUACAGUGAAACUUCCUGCAUUCAACUGACACACAACCACCACUGAUAAAUUCAUCUAGGCAGUGAAUCUGAUUCAUGCUUCCUGCAUUGUCAGAGAAGCCAUGAGAAAAAGCAGCCUGAGGGCACCUGAAGGAUUGGUAUGAAAAGGAUGUCUGAGCAGAAGCCCAGCCUAUUCAAAUCAUCUCACCUGAUUAGUGCUCACAUUGGUAAAAGCCUUCUGUUUAACUGAGGUUACUGCCUUUCAUUUACCAGGCUGAAAGGGUCACUGUGAUCAUCUUCUCUGAGUUCUGGCAUAAUGCAGACCAACACAGCUACCAAAUACAUCCCUGAAACAUGACAGAUGCCAAUUUUUUGUCAAUUUUGGAAUGAUAAACUUCACUGCUAAACAACAAAGGAAGAUUUCUACACCUCUCUGCCUUUCUGCCAUCUGACACCACCAAGGAAGAAAUACUGCCUUAUCUGUACAUCAAAGAGCAAGUCACACAAAGUAACUCUCAUGGACCCAGAGGAACAGACAACCUGUAGGGACUUUUACUAUCUUUAGUUUUCCCUCAGCCUGAAAAAGGGGCAUGUGCCCUAACGCUUGCAAAGA
Molecule: long non-coding RNA, 635 nt
Organism: Gavialis gangeticus (Gharial)
Lineage: Eukaryota; Metazoa; Chordata; Crocodylia; Gavialidae
Exons: 4
Source: RefSeq, a predicted model, not a curated record